RNAcentral lists this transfer RNA (79 nucleotides) under Trametes sanguinea. RNAcentral describes it as "tRNA-Ile". It matches the Rfam family "tRNA". From Rfam's summary of the family: Transfer RNA (tRNA) molecules are approximately 80 nucleotides in length. RNAcentral also lists the same sequence under 1 other name. Lineage: Eukaryota; Fungi; Basidiomycota; Agaricomycetes; Polyporales; Polyporaceae. The record is from RNAcentral.
GGCCGACUAGCUCAGUUGGUUAGAGCGUGGUGCUAAUAUUGCGACGCCAAGGUCGUCGGUUCGAUCCCGGCGUUGGCCA